CCCCCCCUCCCCCCCCCGCCCGGGCUGCGUGCUACCUGCAGUCGACGAAAGUUUAUACUUUAGUGGCGGACGGGUGAGUAAUACGUGAGACUCUUCCUUUAGGAAGGGAAUAACAAUUGGAAACGAUUGCUGAUGCCCUAUAUGCUUAGCAGUGAAACAGAUUUAUCUGCCUGAAGAUGAGCUCGCGCCUGAUUAGCUAGUUGGUAGAGUAAAAGCCUACCAAGGCAACGAUCAGUAGCUGGUUUGAGAGGACGAUCAGCCACACUGGGACUGAGACACGGCCCAGGCUUCUACGGAAGGCAGCAGUGGGGAAUUUUCCGCAAUGAGCGAAAGCUUGACGGAGCAAUACCGCGUGAGGGAAGAAUGCCUGUGGGUUGUAAACCUCUUUUUUUAGGGAAGAAAAUAUGACGGUACCUAAAGAAUAAGCAUCGGCUAACUCCGUGCCAGCAGCCGCGGUAAUACGGGGGAUGCAAGCGUUAUCCGGAAUUACUGGGCGUAAAGCGUCUGCAGGUGGCUUAAAAAGUCUGCUGUUAAAUAUUAGAGCUCAACUCUGAGUAAGCAGUGGAAACUGUUAGGCUAGAGUAUGGUAUGGGUAAAGGGAACUCCCAGUGUAGCGGUGAAAUGCGUAGAUAUUGGGAAGAACACCAGUAGCGAAAGCGCUUUACUAGACCAUUACUGACACUCAGAGACGAAAGCUAGGGGAGCAAAUGGGAUUAGAUACCCCAGUAGUCCUAGCCGUAAACGAUGGAUACUAGAUGUUGCGUGUAUCGACCCAUGCAGUAUCGUAGCUAACGCGUUAAGUAUCCCGCCUGGGAAGUAUGCUCGCAAGAGUGAAACUCAAAUGAAUUGACG
Molecule: ribosomal RNA, 852 nt
Filed under: uncultured phototrophic eukaryote
Lineage: Eukaryota
Description: bacterial SSU rRNA
Rfam family: Bacterial small subunit ribosomal RNA
Source: RNAcentral